This 253-nucleotide ribosomal RNA is filed under the name uncultured bacterium. RNAcentral describes it as "partial 16S ribosomal RNA". It matches the Rfam family "Bacterial small subunit ribosomal RNA", at positions 524 to 776 of the family's 1533-position model. The record is from RNAcentral.
UACGGAGGGUGCAAGCGUUAUCCGGAUUCACUGGGUUUAAAGGGUGCGUAGGUGGGCAGGUAAGUCAGUGGUGAAAUCUUUGGGCUUAACCCGAAAACUGCCAUUGAUACUAUUUGUCUUGAGUACUGUGGAGGUCAGCGGAAUAUGUCAUGUAGCGGUGAAAUGCUUAGAUAUGACAUAGAACACCCAUUGCGAAGGCAGCUCGCGACACUAUUAUUGACGCUGAGGCACGAAAGCGUGGGGAUCAAACAGG